AGAAUCAACGCUGGCGGCGUGCCUAACACAUGCAAGUCGAACGAGAAAGUGGGGGCAAUCCCACGAGUAAAGUGGCGCACGGGUGAGUAACACGUGACUAACCUACCCUUGAGUGGGGGAUAACCUAGGGAAACCUGGGCUAAUACCGCAUAAUACCUACGGGUCAAAGGAGCAAUUCGCUUUAGGAGGGGGUCGCGGCAGAUUAGUUAGUUGGCGGGGUAAUGGCCCACCAAGACAGUGAUCUGUAU
RNAcentral lists this ribosomal RNA (248 nucleotides) under uncultured bacterium. RNAcentral describes it as "partial small subunit ribosomal RNA". It matches the Rfam family "Bacterial small subunit ribosomal RNA", at positions 26 to 286 of the family's 1533-position model. The record is from RNAcentral.